AAAUAGAUACCCUGGUAGUCCACGCCGUAAACGAUGAGUGCUAGGUGUUGGGGGGUUCCACCCUCAGUGCUGAAGUUAACACAUUAAGCACUCCGCCUGGGGAGUACGACCGCAAGGUUGAAACUCAAAGGAAUUGACGGGGGCCCGCGACAAGCAGUGGAGCAUGUGGUUUAAUUCGAAGCAACGCGAAGAACCUUACCAGGUCUUGACAUCCUUUGACCACUCUAGAGAUAGAGCUUUCCCCGUUCGGGGGACAAAGUGACAGGUGGUGCAUGGUUGUCGUCAGCUCGUGUCGUGAGAUGUUGGGUUAAGUCCCGCAACGAGCGCAACCCUUGACCUUAGUUGCCAGCAUUCAGUUGGGCACUCUAAGGUGACUGCCGGUGACAAACCGGAGGAAGGUGGGGACGACGUCGAAAUCAUCAUGCCCCUUAUGACCUGGGCUACACACGUGCUACAAUGGAUGAUACAAAGGGUUGCGAAGCCGCGAGGCCAAGCCAAUCCCAAAAAGUCAUUCUCAGUUCGGAUUGUAGG
This 531-nucleotide ribosomal RNA is filed under the name uncultured bacterium. RNAcentral describes it as "bacterial SSU rRNA". It matches the Rfam family "Bacterial small subunit ribosomal RNA", at positions 776 to 1304 of the family's 1533-position model. The record is from RNAcentral.